CGCCGGGAAGCUUGGUUGGCCGCGCGGAGCCGGGGCCAGGCUGGGAGCGUGGAGACACCAUGUGGCGGCUGGUAGACGGCUUGUGUCCGUACAGUUCCUCGUUAGUAUAGUGAUUAUGUUAUUCAACUGUACACAGAGAUCUGGCAACUCAAGAUUUCAUCAUGACAGGCUCAGAUAUUUUCUUUAAUCAAGCUUUUGAAAUGUCAUGGAUGGAAACACUUCCUCUUUCUGGUCAUGUUACUCACAUUUACCGACAGUGGGCUGCAGCAUCCUUCUCCAUCUGAGAAGCCUAGUGCACGCAAAACUUUAUUAUACAGACAAUUGCAGUAUAUGAAGAAAUCAUCUAUGUUUUCUAUGUAUCUAUACUUAUUAAUAGCUUCGUGAUCAUCUCAAUUACCAUUUUUAAAAACAUCUGCUUCGGCGUGGUUGGGUCCUUUCUGUUCCAUGAGGAACAGCGAACCAACCAAACUCAUACUAAAAUUUAAACAUCCAAGAAUUGGCAUUGAAACAAAAGAGGUAGUAUGUAUGCUUCACACA
Falco peregrinus (peregrine falcon) is the source of this 537-nucleotide long non-coding RNA. RefSeq lists it as uncharacterized. The transcript has 3 exons. The record is from RefSeq and is a predicted model, not a curated record. Lineage: Eukaryota; Metazoa; Chordata; Aves; Falconiformes; Falconidae.